This 17364-nucleotide long non-coding RNA is filed under the name Gossypium barbadense (sea-island cotton). RNAcentral's name for it is "long non-coding RNA (GBAR_LNC009557)". Lineage: Eukaryota; Viridiplantae; Streptophyta; Magnoliopsida; Malvales; Malvaceae. The record is from RNAcentral.
AUGACGCGAGGAGAUAGGCUUAUUCAGGCCUUUUUAGAUCCAUAUUCGAGGAUCUAGUGUUUCCUUCAUGAAAAAUCAAGAGGGAAGCCCCCCACCUUCGUCAGAUCCGGUUCAAAUGGAGAAGAACUCAGACGAUACCGACAGUUCAAGGUUCAAGUAACGACUUUCUCUCUUCCUUUUCCCUUUUUGUUUCAAAACUGAUUUUUUAAAAAGAAAAUCAAAAACAAAAAAAUAAAAAAAUUGAAGAUGUAUAUAAAAUAAAGAAACUGAAAUAAACAGACGCAAGAAUGAAUUUCAACCUUUUCCCUUUUUUUUGAUUGCUUGAAUCGUCUGCGUAUAUUUACAAACUGACUUUUGUUUCGGUUUUAUAACCGAUUACAACAGGAAAGAAAACUGUAACACCCCAAACCCGGCCUAGAUGUUAUGGCCGAAUCUGGCGUGUCACAUCAAACCAUUUUUCAAAUUUGAUCGUUCCGGUGAAAAUCCAUUACUAAAUCUAAAUUCCUUUAUUAUUAUUAAACUAAAGUUCUCAUCAAAACGUUUACCAAUUUGUUUGCCUUUGGUAUAUUACCUCAUUUAAAAUCGCGGAAGCAUUUUGAAAACUUUGUUGUUGGAAGCUCGUGUUCCUUAGAAGAAUCAUGCCAUUUUGAAAUCUCGAGUUUUCAUAGACUAGCAGUUUAGUAUAAGAAAUCACAAUCCAAAUUAAAACUUAAAACCCACCAACGGCCUUACUACAUAAAUUAAAAACCCAAAACGAAAUCUAAUUGCAAUUAAAAGAAACAGAAACAGUAUUGUGGCCAUCUCUGAGUCCCUCGCAGCUCCAAACCAUUUAAGCUUAGAGAUUACCUGCACAGUUAGAAAUGGGGUGAGUUUACGAAAACUUAGUGUGUAAUCCCAAUAACAAACAAACAGUGAAUAACACAGUAUCAGUACAAUUUGGGCCAAAGCCCUAUUCAGUCUCGACAUAUACUGGGCCGAAGCCUUUCGUUUAAUGGUUACUGGGCCGAAGCCUUUACUGUAAACGGUAUGGCCCAUAAGCCCAUUUCAAUAUCACAUGUAAUACCAAUAGAUGUAUGCAAGCCCAUUUGGAGAGACUACUCAACCCACCAUCCGCUACUCUCCACCCGUACCAACCAAGCUCUCCAUGUGGGGAAUAACUCAACCCACCCAACCAAACUCUCUACUGGCAGCAUAGUUGCUUUAUCAUAUAACUGGAGGCCUAUCCUAUUUUAAUAACUGGGGCAAAGUCCUUUUUGAUAAACUGGGGCAAAGCUCUUUUAGGUAAACUGGGGCAAAACCCUUUUCGGUAAACUAGGGCAAAGCCCUUUUAGCACUUCCUCCAUUUUUAUAAAACCCAACCCAUGCAACAUGUCAUGUAUGCAGAAUGUCAUGCCCAUAUUUGAAUCAAACAAUCACAGUCAAGUCAUUCAGAUCACCAACAUAUAUUCACAAACAAAUCUUUCAACCACACAGUCCAAGUCAGUCACUUGCCCACAAGGGCAAAACAGUCAUUUAACACCCUAGAGGCAAAAUGGUAAUUUUACCCCACAAGGGUAUCUCGAUAAUUCUACCCUACAGGGGUAUUUUAGUAUUUCUACCCUACAGGGGUAUUUCGAUAAUUCUACCCUACAGGGGUAUUUUGAUAUUUUACAAAUCGAGAGUAUUUCGAUAAUUUCACAAAUCAGGGGUAUUUUGGUAAUUUUACUGAUCGAGGGUAUUUUGGUAAUUUUGUAAACCAAGGGUAUUUUAGUAAUUUUUCAAAAUCAAGGGUAAAACGGUAAUUCUAUAAAUCGAGGGUAAAAUGGUAAUUCUGUAAAUCGAGGGUAAAACGGUAAUUCUAUAAAUCGAGGGUAAAAUGGUAAUUCUAUAAUUCGAGGGUAAAACGAUAAUUAUGUAAAUCAAGGGUACUUUGGUAAUUUUACAAAUUGAAGGCAUUUCAGUAAUUUGGUAAACUAAAGUAUUCUAAGCAGGGAUAACAAUACGAAUGGGCCUAAAGCCUAUUCUUGGCCCAAAUGGGCCUACACGCUCGUGUGGCCCUUUUAGCCCAAAUCUAACCACAAAUAUGAGAUUCACCUAGCCUAGUCCAAUAUUUACUACACAAUCAAACAACUUAUCCAAUUGGGCUCGUAGGCCUACAUGACCCCUUUCGGCCCAUCGCGGCUCGAAGUAGCCAUCCUACAGCUAGAGUAGCAAGAAAAUACACACCUGAUAGGAGGCUGGAGUUAAUCCGCGCUCCGAGCACUCUUAGCCGAUGCCCAACCCAAACGAGCACGCCAUAAAGCGAAAGUGAUCAGCCAAAAAAGGUACCCUUACUCUCCUCAUGGUUCUCUCUAUUUAAAGCCAGCUUUGCAUCCACUUUUAUGUUAGCUUCCCGAUGUGGGAUCCCUCCAACAUCAAAGUUUAAAUUCAACACAAACUCUUGCUGCCCCCUGUUAGCAAAAUAAAUGAAUUUUGAUUGCCAUGAGUUUCGAACCCUAGACCUCUUUGCCAACUCUAUGACGCCACCUUCCUGCCUCUUAUGUGGCGCUACUUUGCCACCAGACCACAAGGCUUUUUGUGGCACAAUUUCUCCAACAAUAUUCUUAAGGCCUACCUACUACACCUAGGGUUUGAUUCACCUUAAACCAAAAUUUUUGCUAGAGUCCAGGUUUGAACCCAGGACUUCUCCAACACUUCUCAGCACACUUAACCACUAAAACAAGCCUUCAUUAACGAAAUUUACAUGCACAACAAAAUAUUAUAAGCUACCUUCAACCACUCCCAUGCUCAAGGCCCAAAACUUCUAGGCUCAAAUUCAGGGUGUUACAAAAAUGCUCCCCUUUCUCUGUUGUUGCUGCUUCUGUUGUUUUUUGGGUUUGUUUGCAGGUGUGCGAGGUCAACGAAGGCAAAAACUGACCAUUUUGGUGCAAAACGGUGGCAGAGGCGCCUGGGGUGGUCAGGUCUCGGGACCAGGCGCGGGUGGUGCGCUCGAGGCACGUGGGGGAAGCAGCGCGGCGCAAAGAAGGCUCAGAAACCCUAGGGUUUCUGAGUUGGUUUAGUUCUUGGGCCUUUUGGACCCUUAAGUCUGGGCUUAUUGGGCCAUCCAAAUAUUGGGCUUGUAUUUGGGUUUUUAUUUAAACGGGCCAGGCAAAAUUGAGCCCGUACAGCUGCCCUUCUUUGCUCAUCGUCGUGGAACGGGAAUGGAGCAAAGGCUAAAAGAGGGCCAAUUUUGCCUGGACCUGUCGAGUUUCGACUUCUUUUGGCACUUCUUUUCUUCGAGUAGCUUCAAUAGGCCCUACUCUAGUCCGCUCCACUGUAACUUUAGAGAGAUGAUACUUGUUUUAUCUACUCUACUGCAACUUCAGAGAGAUAAGAUUUAUAACUUCAACCUACUCCACUGCAUCUUCAAGGAGAUAAGGUUUGCGACUUCGAUCUACUUUGCUGCAACUUCAGGAAGAUCAGAUUCGUCAUGGUAGAUUUGGUCCGACCUGCUGCAACUUCAGAGGUAUAAGACUUGUAGCUUUAAUCUACUCUACCACAACUUCAGAGAGAUAAGAUCUGCUAUUUUCGGUCUGCUCCACUACAAUUUCAGGGAGAUAAGAUUAGUCGCUUCAAUCAGCUUCACUGCAACUUCAAGAAGAUAAGACUUGCCAUCUUCAAUCUGCUCCACUGCAACUUCAAGGAGAUAAGACUUGCAACUUUGACCUACUCCACUGCGUCUUCAGGGAGAUAAGGUUAGUGGCUUUGAUUCGCCUCACUGUAACUUCAGGAAGAUAAGAUUUGCUAUCUUCGGUCUGCUCCACUGCAACUUCAGGGAGAUAAGAUUGAUGGUUUUAAUCUUCUUCACUACAACUUCAGGAAGAUAAGAUUCGCCAUAAUUCGUAGUUUCAAUUGAUUUUACUACACUGUCCUCUGAGGGACAUGACCUGUAGAUUCGAGUUCUUGAGCCUAUGCAUAUGUCAAAUGAUCAGAAUGAAUCAAAUGCUCCUGACUAUAUGUGUAUGAAUGAUGUUUGUGAUGCAUAAUAUUAUUAUGCUUAAUUUGGUAUUACUUGCUGUUCAUCAAGGUUUUAUCAACGACGUAUUAUCCAGCCCUUCUCUUCAAUUUGGUAUCUCUUGAAGAAUAAUCACAAUUUGGGUUUUUCUUUUCCAAUAUUUCUUUGAAUUUGGGUAAUUUAAACUAAUUAGUCUCAUUUCAGGUCCUUAUAUUAUUUAAAAUCGUUUCAGAGUAAUAUGUAGAACUCCUUUUAAAUGUCAUUAGUCCAUUAAUCAUUAUUUCAAUGAAAAGUGUCUGAAAGAGAUUAUCGUAAUGGACAAGACGAAAUUUUAUUGAGAAAAAGGCUUGAAAUGAACAAGUAAUAGCAAAUUUUGCUAGGGUACAAAAUGAAUAACAUGAAAAUAGGUGCCCCAGAUAUCGUAGUAUGAGCUUCUCUACACAGAGCUUCUCGAGGACCCUUUGAACUUGAUACGCGUUUAGAAGACCAAGAGUCUUUUGUUGACGCCCCAAGAUGUAGCAUCUCUUCCUCUUGUUAAUUCAAAGAAGACAAGACCAACGUAUGCCCCAAUUUUGAUUAAAAUUUGAGUCGCCCAUUCUUGGGUUUUCAACUCAAAAUCUCUUUGGUCUCAAAGCGCCCUCUUGCGGGUUUUCACUUUGGGCUCUCCGUUUCCUUUUUUUUAAGUAAAGUACCUCUUGACCGAAUCUGAAUUCACGGGGUUAGGCAAAUUUUUUUCAUCCAUCUCAAUCAAAAUUAGAGCCCUUCCAGAGAAGGCUUUCUUCACCACAUAAGGUGCUUCCCAAUUUGGCAUCUAUUUUCCUUUGAAGUCCUUUUGUAUAGGGAGGAUCUUUUUUAAAACAAGGUCUGCUUCAUAAAAUUCUCUAGGACGAACCUUCUUGUUAUAAGCCCGCAUCAUCCUCUUUUGGUACAUUUGACAAUGGUGAAUAGCUUUCAACCUUUUUUCUUCAAUUAGGUUCAGCUGACCAUAUCGAGACCGGAUCCAUUCUGCUUCAUCUAACUUUAGCUCCGACAACACUCGAAGGGAUGAAAUUUCAACCUCGAUAGGCAGGACCGCCUUCACUCCAUAAACCAAAGAGAAAGGUGUUGACCCGGUAGAGGUUCUGACUGAUGUUCGGUAAGCAUAAAGGGUGAACGGUAACUUCUCAUGCCAGUCUUUAUAAGUCUCAGUCAUUUUUCCCACGAUCUUCUUGAUGUUUUUAUUGGCCGCUUCCACCGCACCAUUCAUUUUUGGGCGAUAUGGCGACGAGUUAUGGUGUUUAAUAUUGAAUUGGCUACAAACAUCUGCUAUCGUGCUGUUGUUCAAGUUCAGUGCGUUGUCGGAUAUGAUCCUCUCAGGCAUUUCAUAUCGACAUAUAAUCUCCUUUUUUAAGAAUUUGCUAACUGCCGAUUUCGUCACAUUGGCAUAAGAAGUGGCUUCUACCCACUUGGUGAAGUAAUCGAUAACCACAAAGAUGAAUUGGUGCCCAUUAGACGCUUUUGGUGAGAUCGGCCCUAUGACAUCCAUGCCCCAAAUAGAAAAAGGCCAUGGGGAAGUCAUGACAUGAAGAGGUGAAGGAGGCACAUGAAUCUUAUCUCCGUAGAUUUGGCACUUAUGGCACUUCUUGGUAUAGUUGAUGCAAUCCCCCUCCAUAUUGGACCAAUAGUAUCCGAACCUCAUGAUUUGUCUGGCCAUUGUGAAACCAUUGGCAUGUGUUCCACAGACGCCCUCAUGGACCUCUUCUAAGAUUUGCUUAGCCUCGACAGCGUCUACACAUCUUAAGAGCACCUGAUCUUUUCUUCUUUUGUAGAGGAUCUCUCCGUCUAAGACAUAGUCACUAGCUAGCCUUCUCAAUAUCCUUUUAUCGUUCUCAGUCGUAUGAUCUGGGUAUUCACGAUUCCUCACAUAUCGCAGUAUAUCUUGAUACCAAGGGUGGUCAUCUUUUUCUUCCUCUUCAUCGAUGUUGUAGUAAUGAGCCGGAGCCUCAUAGAUACUCAUCUGGAUAGGCUUCAUAUCUUCUUGCUUGUUUACUUUGAUCAUAAAAGCUAAAGUUGCCAACGUGUCAGCCAUCUGGUUUUCAUUUCGUGGGAGAUAGCAAAAAGUGAUGUCGUCGAACUCCUUAAUUAGCUCCAGAACUAGCUUUUGUUAAUUGAUCAAUUUAGGGUCUCUUGUCUCUCAUUCACCUUUAAGCUGAUAGAUCACAAUGCAGAAUCCCCAUAUACUUCUAGCACCUUUAUUUUGCGUUCAAUAGCCGCAUGGAUACCCAUGAUGCAUGCUUCAUACUCCGCCAUGUUAUUUGUGCAAUCAAAAUCCAAUUUACUAGUAAAGGGAUAAUGAUCUCCAUUUGGGGAUACCAGAACUGCCCCAAUUCCGUUACCCACAGCAUUUGAGGCUCCGCCAAAAUUCUAUCUCCAAGGAUGAUCUUCUUGAAAGUUUUCUUCCGUGGUCGCGACGUACAUUAAGUCUUCAUUUGGGAAAUCAAAACUCAAAGGCUCAUAAUCUUCUAGAGCCCUACUGGCCAGAAAAUCUACUAUUGCACUCCCUUUUAUAGCCUUCUGGUUCACGUAGACUAUGUCAAAUUCAGAAAGCAGAAUUUGCCAACGAGCCAUUCUUCCGUUCAGAGCAUUUGAUUCCAUCAUGUACUUUAAAGGGUCUAAUUUUGAGAUGAGCCAAGUUAUGUGGUACAACAUAUACUGUCUCAAUCUCUGGGUUGUCCAGAUCAAAGCACAACAUAAUUUCUCGAUUGGCAAAUAUCUUGUCUCGUAUAUCGCAUUUUCUUUUCUCUUGUCUCAUCAUGUUGGCCUAACACACACCCUAUGGAGUUCUCGAACACUGCUAAAUAGAGUAUCAGUGGCUUAUCUGGGCAAGGUGGCAUCAGCACCGGGGCAUUAGACAAGUAAUGCUGGACUUUAUCAAAAGUUCUUUGGCACUCCUCGUCCCAUAUACUUGGGUUGUGUUUCCUAAGGAGGCGGAAUAUCGUGUCACAUUUCUUCGUUAGUUGUGAAAUGAACCGAGCGAUGUAAUUUAGCCUUCCUAGGAAACCUCAAACUUCUUUUUGAGUGCGUGGCAGAGGUAAUUCUUGUAUGGCUUUGACUUUUUUUGGGUCGAUUUUGAUCCCCUUUUCACUUACUACGAAUCCUAAUAGCUUUCCCGACCUGGUGCCAAAAGUAUAUUUCGCGGGAUUGAGCUUUAGCUGGAACUUUUUUAAUCUUAAAAAUAGUUCCCUCAAGACUUGUACAUGCUCAUUUUCUGUCCUGGAUUUCACGAUCAUAUCAUCGACGUAAACUUCGAUCUCCUUGUGCAUCAUGUCAUGGAACAGAGUUACCAUAGCUCUCUGAUAUGUCGCUCCUGCGUUAUUUAGUCCAAAUGGCAUCACCUUAUAACAGAACGUUCCCCACAUGAUCACGAAUGUGGUUUUUUCCAUGUCUUCGGGAUGCAUUUUUAUCUGGUUGUAUCCCAAGAAACCAUCCAUGAAGGAGAAAAGUGAGUAACCCGCCGUGUUAUCUACUAAUGUAUCAAUGUGAGGCAAUGGGAAAUUGUCUUUUGGGCUGGCUUUAUUCAGAUCUCGAUAGUCCAUGCACAUCCGUACCUUUCCAUCUUUUUUAGGAACUGAGACUAUAUUGGCUACCCAUUCUGAGUAUUUAACCACUUGUAAGAAACCGGCGUCGAAUUACUUUUUGACCUCUUCUUUUAUCUUCAACAAAACAUCAAGUCUCAUUCUUCGAAGUUUCUGUUGAACUGGCUUGCACUCUUCCUUUAUGAGGAGCCGGUGUACCACUAUAUCAGUAUUCAACCCGGGCAUGUCUUGAUACGACCAUGCGAAGACAUCCUUGAAUUCUUGUAGUAACUCAAUGAGGUCUCGCCUUGUUUCUGGGGCGAUAAAGGCCCCAAUCUUUACCUCUUUUCCUUCUCCUAAGCUCACGAUUUCCACUGACUCCUUGUGAGGUAGGAUUUGUUUCUCAUCUUGUUCUACCAUCCUUAACAAAUCCGAAGAUAGGUUACAGUUUCGGUCAUCUUCAAAAUCCUGAGAAUCAUCCGUACAAGUAUCUUGCUCAAAAGGAGACUCUGAGUCAGUAGCAGUGUCACUCAUAUCAUUGAUAUCUGGAGACCUGUUAUAGAGAUGAAGAAAAGUCCAAAGAACAAAAGAAUCUAAGAAUAUUUAUUGGCGAUAUGAUUAUGAAUGAAAUGGAAAGAAUAAAAGAAUAUUUGCUCAAGAUGAUACGCAAAGAUGCAUUUUUAUUGAAACAACGAUACUGGAUAAGAGCCUAUUUCACAAAAGGAUUCUUAUUGCCCCUAGGCUUAGAGCAAUAAGCUUGUUUUGGACAUUACUCUGAAUCAAUUUUAAAAGUUACAGGGAUCUCCUCUGUGGUCCAAUUGUUUACAACGCUCCCAGGCACGUAUGGGCAAAUGCCUAAUUGAUCCUCUUCUCUUGUUUCUUCCUCGGAUAUGACAUUAAUGCUCCAAGUAGCCCCUUUCCUUGUCGACUUUCCUUCAGAAUAAAUAGUCCCUCCCGACACGAAUGUUUUGGAUAUGUGGGGAAAGGUCAUUGGCUCCUAUUUGACUUCUUCUCCAUUUAAACGGGCCCUUCUCCUCUCUUGUUUCUUCUCUAUUUCCUUUCUCCUUUUCCUUGCAUUUGGCUUGUACACUAAGACGAAACGGUCUCGUUUGUCUUUGAGCAUGGGUGCCUCGAUCCUUCCUUGUAAGCUCCUUCCAAGCCCAUUUCCGGGAAAAGCUCCUUUCCCAACUGUCAGUUGUAAGCCCAUCUUGGUAGUUUUAGAGAUUUUGGGCACAGGGACCUUGUUCCCUUCGACAAUAAAGAUUGCGUUCACAAAUUCUAACGAUUGGAAAGAGCAUUCUAUUGCUUCAUCAUCUGUCCUCACAUAAGGUGCGUCGCUGGUAACAAACGCAAUGAUAUCCUCUUCUGCGUUUACAGUCACCAAUCGCCCUUUAGUUAUAAAUUUAAGCUUUUGAUGCAGUGAUGAUGGCACUGCCCCUGCUGAGUGAAUCCAGGGCCUUCCCAAUACGUAAUUGUAAGAGGGCUUGAUGUCCAUCACUAAGAAAUCUAUCUCGUAUGUUCUUGGAUCGAUUAAAAGGGGUAUUUCAAUCCUCUCCAUUACCUUCCUUUCAGUACCAUCAAAUGCCCUCACUAUAUUCUGGCAUGUCUUCAUAUGAGAGCCAUCUACUGGCAGCCUAUUCAGCGUAGAUAGGGGUAGGACAUUUAGUGCAGACCCAUUGUCAAUCGACACUCCCGAUAGUGUAUAUCCUUUACAGCGGGUAGUAAUGUGUAGCGCUUUUGUUGACCCUAUUCCUCCUGGCGGUAUUUCAUCUUCAUUGAAAAAUAUGAAAUUAUCAGCGUUUAUAUUAUUGACGAGAUAGUUUAGCUUGUUGACAGAGAUAUCAUCCGCGACGUAAGUUUUAUUAAGUACUUUCAUUAACGCGCUUCGAUGUGUCUCCAAACUCAAGAGCAAAGCUAGUACCGAGAUACGAGCCGGUUGCUUGUGUAACUGUUCAACCACGCUAUACUCACUAUGCUUUAAGAAUUUUAGGAAUUCUCUAGCUUCUUUUUUGGUUAUUGGCUCGUUAAUUGGCGAUUCGGGCCUGGCCGUCUUUUCCUUCCUUUACUCGACUAUCAGGGUCUUUCCUUUGACAAUUUUAGUUUCUGUACUAACAGGAUCAUAACUUUUUCCACUACGUGUAUAGAAACCUACAUCUUGGUUUUCCUUUGAAGUAUUAGCCGAGUUCUCCCUGCCCGGGAUCGUCACGUUGUAGUCGUAAUUCCAGGGAACCCUUUUACUAUCCUUGUAAGGGAAGGAUAUUGGCUUCUGAAUUAUGACUCUCGGUACCAUUUGCAUUCCUGCUUCAACGUUCUUCGGUCACAAAAUUAUCACCAUAGGAUGAUUAACUCUUUGGACCCCUUCUGUUGUUCCUUCUUCUGAGGCGUAAACCUCUCAUUCUUCUGACCCUUCGAUUUUUUCAUAAAAUUUCAUCUCCUUAUUGUCCAUCAAGUUUUGCACUAUGGACCUGAACUUAUUGCACUCUUGGAUGUUAUGGCUUUCAUCGGCAUGAAACUCGCAGUAUUUUCUUACUUCUCUAGGCCUUUCUUUUGAAUCUUGUGUGAUCAAACCUCCUUCCACUAUCUUUUUCCAAACCCAUUUCAACGGGGUUUUUACCUCUGAUACAUCUAUCUUGGUUCUCCUCCUUCCAUUUUUGAUUAUUUCGUUUACCCCUUUGUCUGAAUGACUAGGUAGCGGAUUCCCAGCCAUAUUAGGUCCUGUGGGCUCAUCGAACUUCACAACGCCCAUGCCUAUGAGCCUUUCGACUACCUUUUUGAAGGCAGUACAGUUCUCAAUCGUAUGUCCCGAGAUCCUGCAUGGUAUUCGCAUUGAGCGUUUGCGUCAUACCACUUAGGGAACGGAGGCUGCAGGGGUUUCAAGUAGUAAGGUGACACCACAUGGGCAUCGAAUAAAUUUUGAUACAACUCCCUGUAUGACAUUGGGAUAGGAGUAAACUGGACUCUUUCCGUGUUAGGCUUCGGGUUUGAAUCUUGUCUUGCAGAGCCCUGAUAGCUGGUAGUCACUGUCUUUGGUUGGCUCACAGUGACUGGCUUAGAAUAACUCUUAUUGUAUACGCUCGCAUUGUUCACUUCAUUUUCUUUCCCUUUCAGAGCUGAUUUCUUUUCCCCUGUUUCAAUCUUCCUACAUCUUAUCGCGUUCUCUAUCAUCUCUCCUGACAUUACUAUGUCUGAGAAGCUCUUAGUAGUGCUUCCCAACAUGUGGUUAAUAAAUAGAGCUUUCAGAGUGUUGACAAAAAGCAUAGUCGUUUCCUUCUCCAGAAGAGGUGGUUGGACUUGCGUCGCCACCUCUCUCCAUCUUUGGGCAUACUGCCUAAAGCUCUCAUUUUGUUUCUUUUCCAUGUUUUGUAAUGUGAUUCGGUCGGCUGCUAUGUUUGUCAUAAAGGCCGUAUUGUUUCAUGAAAGCUUGUGCCAAGUCCUUCCAUGAAUGGAUUUGCGCGCGACUUAGUUGGUUGUACCAUUUGGCCGCAGACCGACCAAACUAUCUUGAAAGCAAUGGAUUAAUAAUUGCUCAUUAUGAACAUACCCUACCAUUCUUCGACAAAACAUGGUGAUGUGAGCCUCUGGACAGCUGGUUCCAUUGUAUUUUUCAAAGCCUGGGAUUUUGAACUUAGGACGGAGGACUAGGUCUGGGACCAAACUCAAAUCUUUGGCGUCGAUCCCACAAUGAUAGUCAGCACUUUCCAUUACUUUGAAUUUUUUCUCUAACCACUUGCAUCGGUCUUCCAAUUCUUUCGAGAGCCCCGUUCUCACUCUUUUUUCUUCUGCUAUAUUAUCCAGAUCAGGGAUUGUAGGAUUGAUAGGGUUAUCCCCGAGAUUAGAGCCUGAGCCCGUUUGAUAAUUGAUUGGCAUUAAGGUAUCGGCCUGAAAUUGCUGAGGCCUGAUCGUAACGGACGGUCUUCGUAUGUGUAGCUCGGGUCGCAUUUGAGCAUUCAUCGGGGCGAAACUAGGGGGUAGAGGGGAUCCUCAGUAAUGGAUGGCCUCUGCGUGUGUGUCUCAUGCUGCGUUGUAGCGUUCACUGGGGUAAAACCAGGGGGUAGAGGGAAUCUCCAUUAUUAUUUCCCAUAUCGGCCAUAAGGCCCUUUCAUUUGUCCAGCCUACUAGUCAGUAGUCGGGUUAGCUCUUCCAUCAUAUUUCUUUGAGAUUCCAGCAUCUGGUCUCUCAUUUCUUGUUGGAUUUUUGCUAGCUGUUCUUGCACUUGUGCUUGCAUUUGCUCCUGCAUCUCUUUCUGCAUUUGCUCCAGUCUCUCUAGCUUUUUAUCCAUCGCUUCAGUUUUCUUCCUUGUACCGUAGGGAUAUGUAUUUGAAAGAUUUUUGUCAGUUUCCAAGUUACUGAAAUAUUUUUAAUUAAUUAGAAUCUUUUUAUUAUGCUUAAUGCACAUGAUGUAAUGUGAUGCUAAUGCAUGAAUGCAAAAAGAGGCGUUGAUUCUAAUUCAAUUUCAUUAGAAGGACUUUACUAAAAGCAAAAUUUCUUUACAUAGAAUAGAUGAUUACAUAUACGACUUUGCCCUAAUGCCCCAAGUCUUAACUUUCCUAAGAAGCCAAGCUAAGUUUCGGCCCUGAUCCGAUUCUGACUCGUAUUUUAGGCUUAAUACAUCAGCCUGAACUGCCAAGGUUUGCAGAUGAUCAGCUACCUCUCUAACUUGAGCCACGGUUUCACCCAUGACAUAAUCUCUAUUUCUGAUUUGAUCUUGAGAUUGGUAAAGUUGUGUUUUGUAAUGUUCAUUGUUUGCCUCGAGGAACUCCACUCGACUUUUUCUAUCUUAUAGUGUUGUCUUGAGUUUCUCUAUUUUCCUUUUCAUCUCCUCGAUCUUGCUCAGGUUGGCCCUCAACUCAGUUACAGAGUUACGGCUACGAUGUAGAUGUAGCGAUUUUUCCAAUUCGACAAUCUGAGCUUGUAGUUUCUCUUUUUCGCUCUGGCUUUCCAACAAACUCUUUUUCAAAACAUCUUCCCACACUCGAACAUCUUGGAACUUCUUCUCCUAGUAAUCGACUCUAGCCUUUUAUUUUUCAAUUUCUUGACGCCACUGAUCCGAUGUCUUACCCAAACCGGUAGUUCUUAUUGACACACGCAGCUUCUUAUAAUCGGUCUUUAGACUAUCCAAGUCUUUUUCAGCUUUAUUCUUCCCUUUCUUUAGCUUUUCAGCCUCUAGCUUAUGGAUGUCGACAUCCAAUCCUAGUCGUAUCUUUUCCUCCUCUAACUGCUUUAUCUUCUUUCCCAGUUCCGAGCUUCUUUUCUCGAAGUCUUGCUUAAUAAUUUCUAACUAAGAUGGGACCACUAGUAAAUGCUCUUCUAUCGGUCGGGCAUUUUCUUGAUUUGGCAUUGGGAUGUUGUCGUUGACUCUUUUACCCCACCACCAUUCAUACUCGGGGGUCGUCAUCGGACCCGUGGUGAAUCCUUUCAUUCUUCGAGUUUGGUUCCAAGCAUCUGAUAUCUCACGAACCCUCCUCUUAUAAUUGUUAUCUUUGUAGGGGAACUCAUAUUGUGCCAACCCUUGCGUCACCGGUAUAAAUUACCUCGAUCGAUAUUGCCUUAACACCAUCAGUGGAGCGUAUCCCACAGCUCCCCAUAUUCCAGCCAGAGGGACCCAAUCAAAAUUACCGCAUCAACUAUGGAGCCCUCCAUUCAACAUCUUUAGCUCAUAAAUUCUGGAGAAUAGUUAUCCAUUUCUCUUCGGAGAUGUCAUCUCGUCUUGAUGUGGCCACCAAUUCUCUUAAUAGGGAAUAGUCUUUGGAGAAAACCCUAUAAGAAAUCUUUUCUACCUUCCAAAAAUGGCUAUGGAACCAAGCCAAUAGAAGCUGUGCACAGCCAAUAAAUCUUCCUUCGCCCGCUUUCCGACAUGCAUUCAAGGACCUGAAGUUUCUGCUAAGAUUGUCGAGACGGGUGUGGUCCCUUUAUCGAGGCGAUCAAAUAAAUUCGAGAUGGCUUCAUCUACAUAUCCCAAUGCUUUAAGAAAGAUAAUCAAAUCGUAGAGACUUAAGGCGAAAACAUCAACCCUCUUUUUCAUAUACGGGUGUGCUAAGAUUAAGUCUCUUAAAUUCCUCUAAGGAAUACACUUACUAUCCCAUUUCUGUUUGAUCCGAGCUGCAACCUAUUGUUCGCUCAUUCUCGUGGUCUUCAUCAAUUUCUUUAAAAAAGUUAGAAUAUUAACAGGUCUUGAAUAAACCCUGUCGGCUUGAAUCUUUGGGCAAUUAAGUAACACCGUGUAUUCCUCCACAGAAGGUACUAAAUCAACUCCUCCGAAGGUAAAGCAACUGUAAGCAGGGUUCCAGAACUGUGCGAGGGCCCAGAACAAGUAUUUGUCCACCUUUACAUCGAGCAAAUAGGGUAGAUCACCGUAGUUAUAGUAAAAGAGUUGUUUGACCUCGCUAUUCCAACUAUUCCAUAUAUCUCUUAAUUCUUGCAGGUUGUUCUAAGUUGUACUGAUGCGAGUGAAAUCCCACAACUCCGAUUCAUAUACCUCAGUCAAACUAUCUCUUUUCUCUUGUUGCCUUCUCUCAGACUACACUCGGACGGCCGCAUUAUCCUCUACUCUAUCAAGAAAUCCCUUUUCCAUGCUAAACUCUCCUAUCUAGCAACCGAACGUGAACCAACACCCUUUUAUGAUGUCAUGCAAUAACAACAAAACACAACAAGUCAUUUAUUAAAACAAAGGAUAGAACUCAAAUUAAACAGGAAAUAAUUAAGCACCUAUUCGGGUAACCACUAGGGUUUUGUGUGGUUUUACCUAGGGUAAGCUCUUAGGGCUCAUUAUAUGUGGUUUGGUUCUAAAGUAAAGGUACCUAAACCAGCAGAUUCCUCGAUCCUCACCCAUUAUAGGCUCAUAUGGAUCGAGUUCGAUUCAGGGGAAUACAUUUCCCUACGGCUACGCAGAGAUGAAAAUCUCAUGAAGACGCAAGUAUGGAUGUAUCCCAAAAGCGAUCCACUAUCCUAUACGGAGGUGAAGACCUCAUGAAGGAGUAGUUUCUCACUUCCACUUAAAAGGUGUGACCACAACGGUCAUGCAAUGCAACAUGCGAGGAUAUAUGCAUAAAAUAACUCGAAAUAAUAAAGAAAAUAUAAAUAAAAUGAUGAAAGCUGGAUGAAAUGCAAUGAAGGGAUCGUAGGUUUAAAGCGAAUUUUCAAUUUUGACAAAAGAAAAAAAUUAAUCAAUUUAUGGCUCGACUCUCUCAUUCUUCCCUAGUGGAGUCACCAAGCUGUCGAAACCAUUUUUUGAAACGGGAAUCCACUUUGUUUGAAAGUGAGAGUUAAAACGGGAGUCGCCACCAAUAUUUGUUAGGUGUGAUUGGAUCACCUUUGUUUUAAUAAAACAAUUUUAGUUUACUAAAAUAGCAUUCUGGUCUACAAAAUUCAAGGGAACAGGUUCGGGAGUCGGUUACGUGCAAGGAAGGAUUAGCACCCUCGACACGCCCAAAAAUUGGUACCGAAUUGAUUAGUUAGUAUCUUAAUGUCAAAAAUUGAAAAUCGAGAAUAAAUUGGAAAUACGACCCUUUUUAUUAACAUCGAUCUUAAAAUUCUUGAAUUAGUUCAAAACGAUUGUUGAAGACUUCCUUAUCUCGAGAUAUUAGGGUAUCACAUCCUGUAAGUUAGGACACAAUAUCAAGAAUUCCCGAGCACAAGGUCUUCUUUAAUUAGAAUCAAAAUUCCACGUAAUUUUAAACUUAAAAGGAUAUUUAACUAUUUAGGAUCAACAAGAGAACCGAAACCCCGUAAGUUAGGGCACAAUUCUUCGAUGUCCCAAAACGAGAAAUAUUGCCUUAUUUUGAAUUUUGUUUUUAAAUAGUAGCGAAUUUGAUAUUUAGAUGAGUGACGCUUACAUGAGUUAAAAUAAAAUGAUUUAUCGGAUAAGUGCAACAACGCUUGAUUCUUGAGGCGACGACAUGGAAUAAAAGUGUAAUGCGAUAUUGAACGAUGAUACAUGAAUAAAGAUAUUACACGAGUGAAUGUUAGUAAUAUGAGAAUACGAAUCAACGAACCAUAGUACAUGCCAUGGCAAUAAUCUAAUAUAAUUACGAAUAAAUUUAAAAUAGAUAAUGUGAAAAAGAAAUUUGACAUCAACAAUGUACAAAUCAAUUUAAAAAUAGAAUAUAUGUAAAAGAAAUUUUAACAUAGAUAAUAUACAAGAUAAUCAAAGAAAUAAUUACUAUAUAUAUAUAUAAAAUAGGUAUAACAAUUUGAAAUUAAUAUAUAAAGAUUUUAAAGCAAAUAACAAAACAUUUUAAAAAGGAAUAAUACAUAAAGCGGGUUUAAAAUAAGUAAUGUAAAAGAAUUUUAAAGCCUAUAUUACACCAAGCAAAUUAAAAAGGAUUCAUAUGAAUAGAAAAUAUAUAUAUACAUACACAAAAAUGAAUAAUGAAUAAUAUAUACAUAAGCUAAAACAAACAAUAAUAAAAACGUUUUAAAAUAAAUAAAAGAGCUUAACAUAAAAUAUAUAAAACAAUUUCAAAAUAAAUAAUAUAUAAGUCAAUUUUAAAAAUAAUAAAUAAGGAUCUAAAGUAAAAGAGAGAUUUUAAAAGAAAAAAAAAGUAAUAUACAAAACAAUUUUUUAAUAAUAUGUAUAAAAUGAUUUGAAAUGCUACAUGAAUAAUAUAUGAAAAGAGCCAAACACAUAUAGUACAUACAAAACAUUUUUUGAAAGAAAGUAAUAUUUAUAAAAAAAAUUAAAGUAAAUUAUAUAGAUAAUGUGUGAAAAGGAUAAUAAGGAAAAUAUAUAUAUAUAUAUAAUAUGUAUGAAUAGUUUAGAAUACAUAACGUAUAUAAGAAAAUGAUUUAAAAUGAAUAACAAUACAAAUUUUAAGUAAUCAGUAUAUUUAAACAUGUUAAGACAAGUAAUAUACAUAAAUAAUCAAAUAUAAACAAUACAUAUAAUAUUUAGAAUAGCACACAAUAAAAUACUUUAAAACAAAUGAAUAAAUAAAUGAAUUAGAAAGACUUUGGACUUGAUUGGAGAUGAACCAGAAUGCAGAGUAUACAUUUGAAAUAACAAAGAUGAGAUAAAAGGGUAAUUUGUAACAAAAUAAGAAUAUAAAGGGGCAAAAUAGAAAAUGCCCCAGAUCCAUUUAAGUGCUGCAUUUUUUGGACCAAAAUGAAUUGAAACAGAAAUUAAAUGGCUAAUUUAAAAACAUGAAAAUAAGGAAUGUACUGCAUUAAAAGGGCGCAAAAAUGUGGAGGGACUCAUCGCGUAAAUAGCCCAAGGUUACAAAACACGCGGAUCCUCUCCUAUCCAGGUCGAGUCGCACGUGGAUGGUCCAAAACGGUGCUGUUUCGACACCUGGACUCCCACCUAAAACGGCGCCGUUUUCGUAAGUGUAUGAAAGGCCCUUUUUUUUGUUUUAUUCCAUUUUAGCCCUAGAUUUUUCUGAAAAAAAAACUGCAGCCCUUCUUUCCUUCCCCCUCUUUCUUGCGGCUAGGGCUUCAAAUCCCUCAUGGCCACCGUUGCCAUGGUGCCACCACCGGCGGUGGUCAAUGACGCGAGGAGAUAGGCUUAUUCAGCCCUUUUUAGAUCCAUAUUCGAGGAUCUAGUGUUUCCUUCAUGAAAAAUCAAGAGGGAAGCCCCCCACCUUCGUCGAAUCCGGUUCAAAUGGAGAAGAACUCCGACGAUACCGACGGUUCAAGGUUCAGGUAACGACUUUCUCUCUUCCUUUUCCCUUUUUGUUUCAAAACUGAUUUUUUGAAAAGAAAAUCAAAAACAAAAAAAAAUAAAAAAAAUUGAAGAUGUAUAUAAAAUAAAGAAACGGAAAUAAACAGACGCAAGAAUAAAUUUCAACCUUUUCCCUUUUUUUUUUGAUUGCUUGAAUCGUCUGCGUGUAUUUACAAACUGAC